This is a long non-coding RNA of Lolium rigidum, 681 nucleotides long. RefSeq lists it as uncharacterized. Lineage: Eukaryota; Viridiplantae; Streptophyta; Magnoliopsida; Poales; Poaceae. The transcript has 2 exons. The record is from RefSeq and is a predicted model, not a curated record.
AAUUUGCUAAUUAAAGUAGUUCUCCUCUCAAAAUCACAUAUUUUAAGUUGUUUACAUCUUGAUUUACAAACCAGUUCGGUUUUAUGAGUUAUGGACUUAUGGUGAUUCAACAGUUGUAGGUGUUAAACUGAUAACCCUUGUAUUGUUACAUACAUAUCUGCAGGCCAAAAAAAAUUAAUCAAGUUUGUCCAUCUUUUGAGGCUGUUUGACUAGGUGAUUAUGCUCCAACUUUGACCUUUGUAUACUUUGGUGAGCAUGCGGAUAGAGGCAAAUAGAGCUUGGAAUAAUACACUUGCUUGCUGCAGGUGUAACUGGAGUAUCUCCAGUCCUGGAAAAUCCAUUGGUAUAUGCCAUCAGUAUGUUGCUAUUUCAGUUUCUGAACGCAAUUUGAAAAGGCACAGUGCAUGCAAAUGGAAGAUGACGACUUCUUAAAUAGGAAGGCAAGGCUGGGACUUAUGGUGCUCACGUUGGAGGUGAUACAGGCAUGUUAGUGUCUUUUGGUUCGCCGAGUAGAAGAUGUCGAAGUGGCUGGUUUUUGGUUUCUUUUGGUUCGCCUCUAGUUACCCUAGAGUUUUUACCGCUUAGUUUUAAAAUUUGUGUAACUGAUCGUAUGUUUCCUAUAAUACGCUUUGUAUUGUGCUUUUCUUGAAUUCAAUGUGAGAUUGCGCAUGUGAAAUGCUA